UAAAGUGCGAUAACUAGUGUGAAUUGCAUUACUUUGUGAACCAUCGAGUCUUUGAACGCAGCAUGCGCCCUCUGUGCGGGAGGGCAUGCCUGGCUGAGCGUCGCGUUUUCUGGGAAACCGAGGAGGGCCGCAAGCACGCUUCGGCCUGUGGGGAUGCGGCGGCGCGCGCAGCUGUGUUGCAGGCGGAAGCACGGCGCAGCGAGGCGGGCCGGCGAACACGCAGCGGCCUCAGCUCAGGCAGGACGACCCGCUGAACUUAA
RNAcentral lists this unclassified non-coding RNA (260 nucleotides) under uncultured fungus. Its description in RNAcentral is "sequence contains ITS1". The stretch from base 1 to 103 matches the Rfam family "5.8S ribosomal RNA", at positions 49 to 154 of the family's 154-position model. The record is from RNAcentral. Lineage: Eukaryota; Fungi.